RNAcentral lists this long non-coding RNA (797 nucleotides) under Solanum tuberosum (potato). RNAcentral describes it as "long non-coding RNA (STUB_LNC011786)". The record is from RNAcentral. Lineage: Eukaryota; Viridiplantae; Streptophyta; Magnoliopsida; Solanales; Solanaceae.
AAUUCAGUUCAUAUCUGAACCAGCAUUUUGGUUUUUCUAUCAGUUAGUUUCCUCCUAUCAGAACCUUCAAAGUCCUAGCUGCUUAGAUAUAGAAAACCCAACAAAUUUCAAAUUAGCCAAAUCCAAUGCAUAACAACCAUAUAAAUAAAAUAAGUAUGCAAUAAAUUUCCAAAACUUCACAACUUUUAGAUAAGCUAAUCCAAACAACUCAUCUAAUAAGCACAAAAAAAAUUGCAGCUUGUGAUAUGUGUGCUAGUGCACCUCACCAAUAUCAUUAUCCACCAAAUUUUGAACCAUGAACCACUAGCCCUCAAGCACAUGAACAUCAACAACUAAAAGAACCCUAGCAAUUAACAAUUAAUCGGAAAAAAAAAAAAGUAACAAAAUAGUGUAAAUUAGGACUAACCCUAGCAAUGUGAAGGCAUAUAUGUUCAAUAUGUUAGCUAGAUCAUUCAAAUUCAGUUUAUUUCUGAACCAGCAUUUUGUUUUUUCAGGUUCUGUGUCAGUUCCCAGACGAAUGAAAAUAGCUUUGUUUUUUCUUUAAGAAAACCCUAACAAUGGUGAGUGAACUGCAGGUGUGUCAACAAUGGUGUUCGCUUUACUCUCUCUCUCUCUCUCUCUCUCUCUAGCUUUAUAGGGUGAAAUUGGAGAUACAGUGGAGAGAGAAGUGUUGAGUGGAAGGGAAGGGGGACAGAGUGCUGUGUAUAGGACAAAAUCGUAAUUUUGCGACUUCUGUUUUCAAAUAUCACAAUUUUUUUCCAUUAAAGCAACCACGCCAACAAUUUUCAAGUUUUUGU